GAAGGCAGCUCACUGGACUGCAACUGACACUGAUGCUCGAAAGUGUGGGUAUCAAACAGGAUUAGAUACCCUGGUAGUCCACACAGUAAACGAUGAAUACUCGCUGUUUGCGAUAUACAGUAAGCGGCCAAGCGAAAGCAUUAAGUAUUCCACCUGGGGAGUACGCCGGCAACGGUGAAACUCAAAGGAAUUGACGGGGGCCCGCACAAGCGGAGGAACAUGUGGUUUAAUUCGAUGAUACGCGAGGAACCUUACCCGGGCUUAAAUUGCAGUGGAAUGAUGUGGAAACAUGUCAGUGAGCAAUCACCGCUGUGAAGGUGCUGCAUGGUUGUCGUCAGCUCGUGCCGUGAGGUGUCGGCUUAAGUGCCAUAACGAGCGCAACCCUUAUCUUUAGUUACUAACAGGUUAUGCUGAGGACUCUAGAGAGACUGCCGUCGUAAGAUGUGAGGAAGGUGGGGAUGACGUCAAAUCAGCACGGCCCUUACGUCCGGGGCUACACACGUGUUACAAUGGGGGGUACAGAAGGCAGCUAGCGGGUGACCGUAUGCUAAUCCCAAAAGCCUCUCUCAGUUCGGAUCGAAGUCUGCAACCCGACUUCGUGAAGCUGGAUUCGCUAGUAAUCGCGCAUCAGCCACGGCGCGGUGAAUACGUUCCCGGGCCUUGUACACACCGCCCGUCAAGCCAUGGGAGCCGGGGGUACCUGAAGUACGUAACCGCAAGGAUCGUCCUAGGGUAAAACUGGUGACUGGGGCUAAGUCGUAACAAGGUAGCCGUACCGGAAGGUGCGGCUGGAACACC
Molecule: ribosomal RNA, 798 nt
Filed under: Bacteroides fragilis str. 3988 T1
Lineage: Bacteria; Pseudomonadati; Bacteroidota; Bacteroidia; Bacteroidales; Bacteroidaceae
Description: bacterial SSU rRNA
Rfam family: Bacterial small subunit ribosomal RNA
Source: RNAcentral